GUUCCACAGGUGUCUAUCCAGGGCUGACCCUGUACCUGGCUGUGCUGGGUCCUAGGGCUGCCAAGGAAGAUAAGCCACAGUCGCUGCUGGCCAGGAGGUACACGGGGUCCUCUGCCUACGUGUAGACAUAGAGAACUCUGCCCCUGCAGGUGUAGACAUGUGGGUGGAUCCAGGCCUUUUGCAGUGGAGAAGUGGGGGUAACAGCCGCAGGGCACGCUGCGUGGGGGCCACCCAUCUCCCAGUGUUUAUUGAUCGGCACAGAGGUGUCCCUGGUCCUGAGAGCAGAGUCAGAGACAGGAGUCUGGGAGGGGGACCGAGAGUGGCGGCGGCUGAGGUUUGAGAAUUGGCGGCCUGUCAAGCAGCACCAGGGGCUUGGAGGGGCGAUGAUGUGAUGGUCGUAGUGAUUGGCAGCUUGGGCGGAUACCAAGCUUCACGCUUUCCCCACGUUUCCUUGUUUAAUCCUCUCAAAGGCCCCUAUGCUGUGGGUACCAGCAGCUCCACUUCCCAGAGCAGGAAGCGGGUUCAGAGAGGUCCCGUGACUUAUUCAGGGUCCCGAGCUAGUAAGCGGAGGGGCUCCAAAGCCUAUCAACAGCCCUUCCUGCUUCGUGUCAGGCUUGGGGCCAGGGGUUGCCCUGCGGGUUGGAGAUUGUUGGUAACUCAGAUGACCUCUUUUCAUUCACACGGCGACUCUGGAAGAAAGGUGUGAUCCCCAUUAUGCAGCAGAUGAGACUGAGGCACAGAGACCUAAGUUGCAUGGAAGGAUGGGGCCAGGUUUGGCGGACCUCAAAACUGAGCGUUCCCCGCACUCUUGGGUGGGCACUCCUGGUCCCUUGGGCACAAGCGCUUCUGCUGGCUGGGGGCAGGCGUGCCCGUUCUGCCUUUCCAUCUUCCGGGGCCUGUGCCGGGGGCCUGGCUUCCCCACCAGGGACGGAACAGGGCCAGGGCUCAGCUUCCCUCUGACAGGCUUUGCUCCAUCCUCAGGGAGCUGCAGGAGAAGGAGAGGGCCCUGCGGCUGCAGAAGGAGCGGCUGCAGAAGGAGCUGGAGGAGAAGAAGAAAAAGGAAGAGCAGCAGCGCCUGGCUGAGCAGCGGCUGCAGGAGGAGCAGGAGAAGAAAGCCAGGGAGGCCGCAGCGGCCAGCAAGAGCCUGAACGUGACCGUGGACGUGCAGGUGAGGCCCAGGCGUCAGGGCGGACAGGGCGCCCCCCCAGUCUUCCCAGUAGCUGGAGGCACAGGCUGCGUAUAGUAGGACCUUACUGAAGAGGAGGGAUACGGUCACCCCAGUUGGUUUUUUCGUUUUUCGUGUUUCAUUUUGUUUUUGUUUUUUGG
This 1326-nucleotide long non-coding RNA is filed under the name Sus scrofa (pig). RNAcentral's name for it is "lncRNA (ENSSSCG00030072005.1)". Lineage: Eukaryota; Metazoa; Chordata; Mammalia; Artiodactyla; Suidae. The record is from RNAcentral.